RNAcentral lists this ribosomal RNA (203 nucleotides) under Amphipoda environmental sample. RNAcentral describes it as "partial small subunit ribosomal RNA". Lineage: Eukaryota; Metazoa; Arthropoda; Malacostraca; Amphipoda. The record is from RNAcentral.
CUGCGGUUAAAAGGCUCGUAGUUGAAUGUCAGUUAAUAUACGCGUAGAGGUGCCGGGACGUUGCGAACUUUGGUUUUCGGAUCAUUGCGAGCCGUCUCUCCAAGUGCAUCUCUCGCGGGCUAACGAUUCGAUUAGCGGGUAAAGUGCUUCGGUACUUAGCCCGUUAGUUGACUCCUUGAGUAAAUCAGAGUGCUCAAAGCAGU